GAUGAACGCUGGCGGCGUGCUUAAUACAUGCAAGUCGAACGAACAGACGCGGAGUUUGUUCCUCAGACGUUAGCCGCAGACGGGUGAGUAACACGUGGAUAACCCACUUAUAACACUGGGAUAACUGCGGGAAACCGGCGCUAAUACCGGAUAAUAUAUUGCACCGCAUGGUUCAAUAGUGAGAGACGGUUUUUCUGUCACUUAUAGAUGGAUCCACGCCGCAUUAGCUAGUUGGUCAGGUAACGGCUUACCAAGGCAACGAUGCGUAGCCGACCUGAGAGAGGGGUCGGCCACACUGGAGCUGGGACACGGUCCAGACGCCUACGAGACGCAGCAGUAGGGAAUCGGCCGCAAUGGGCGAAAGCCUGACAGAGCAACGCGGCGUGAGUGAUGAAGGUCUUGGGAGCGUAAAACUCUGUUAUGAGUGAAAAACAAAUGUGUAAGUAACUAAGCACUUCGUGACGGUACCUGAACAGAAAGCCACGGCUAACUACGUG
RNAcentral lists this ribosomal RNA (497 nucleotides) under uncultured bacterium. RNAcentral's name for it is "partial 16S ribosomal RNA". It matches the Rfam family "Bacterial small subunit ribosomal RNA", at positions 28 to 507 of the family's 1533-position model. The record is from RNAcentral.